CGACUCAUGAGUCGACUCACAGGUCGUGCCAAGCCAAAAAACUAGCAUGCCAAGGGAAAUUUUUGCGUGCCAAUCAGCUCAUUGUGCCAUGAGUUGACUCAUGAGUCAACUCAUGCACUUCAAACAUUCAUAUCUUCAAAAAUAUAAGUCCAAAUACAAUGAAAUUUUCACCAAUAGAUUACAAAUCAUUUGUUCUACCAAAUGAUACUAUCAAAUCAGGAUUUUAGUAAAAUUAUGAUUUUGCCCCUGAAGAGCAUAAAGACUUUUUCAAUUUAAAAAUAUUUGUAUCCCUUCAAUCUGCUUUGUAAUCAUCAAAAUCAAUCUAGGAGCAACACCCUUGUAGUGGAUGUUAGUGACAGUUGGUCCACUGUAGGAGUGGGGUGCGCAUCAAGAUAAGAUCUAUCGAUCUUGAUACAGAGGAGUAGUCUUAUGAAAUUUGAGAGGCUAAGUCUAAGAGUCUGUGGCCACGCAGUGUGAUUGAUGAAAAAAAAUUUCAUAGAAGUCAUAACUGGACUUGAGCUAAUCAAUCUAUCAUAUGACUGAUGUUGAAGUUUGACGAUUUAUCCAUGAUCUGCCAUCU
This 580-nucleotide long non-coding RNA is filed under the name Elaeis guineensis (African oil palm). RNAcentral's name for it is "long non-coding RNA (EGUI_LNC062029)". Lineage: Eukaryota; Viridiplantae; Streptophyta; Magnoliopsida; Arecales; Arecaceae. The record is from RNAcentral.